GUGCCAAGUUCCUUACGUCUACAGCCUUGUGAGGCUUGCGUGUUUGUUUUUAUUCAACACAUAUAUGGCACUUAGAAUUUUUUACUACGGUAAAUUUUGUAAUUACACUCAAACCAGCAAGCCGCAUCAUACAACCAAAAUUAAUGUGACAAAGCCUCGAAUGCCAAACAUUUGAUUCAUCAACAUUAAUCACAUUUUUCACUACAUUAUUACAAUCCUCAUUUGAUUCAUCAACAUUAAUCACAUUUUUCACUACAUUAUUACAAUCCUCCGACAAAGACAAAUGAAAUAAACCUCCACAAUUAUAACAGUUUCUAAUAAAAGUACCAAACUUGGACAUUACACAUUUAUUAGACUCAAAGACUAACUUAAAAUCAUAUCUACAUAGUAGAGAGCCUCUAACAAGAUUCUUGUGAAUGGAAGGCACAUGCUGCACGUUCUUCAACUACACGAUCUUUCUCAAAGUAAGCUUCAGAUUAGCUGUACCAACACCAAGAAUAUGCGCAUGUGAGCCAUUCCCCAUCAACAAGGAGCAAAUCCCUCCAACCUGAUAAGAAAAAAAUAAGGAAACAUCAGCACAUAUAUGAAUAUUAUCCCCCAUAUCAACCCACCAUUCAGA
RNAcentral lists this long non-coding RNA (619 nucleotides) under Setaria viridis. Its description in RNAcentral is "long non-coding RNA (SVIR_LNC005687)". The record is from RNAcentral. Lineage: Eukaryota; Viridiplantae; Streptophyta; Magnoliopsida; Poales; Poaceae.